RNAcentral lists this ribosomal RNA (463 nucleotides) under uncultured bacterium. Its description in RNAcentral is "partial 16S ribosomal RNA". It matches the Rfam family "Bacterial small subunit ribosomal RNA", at positions 28 to 507 of the family's 1533-position model. The record is from RNAcentral.
GAUGAACGCUGACAGAAUGCUUAACACAUGCAAGUCGAUGGGGAAGUGGUGCUUGCACCAUGGCAACCAUGGCGGACGGGUGAGUAACGCGUAAGGGACUUACCUGCAGGACUGGGAUAACAGGGGGAAACUCCUGACAAGACCGGAUAAUGUCAUGGAGCUGCAUGGCUUUAUGAUGAAAGGAGACGCCUGCGGAGAGCCUUGCGUCCUAUUAACUAGUUGGUGAGGUAAUGGCUCACCAAGGCGAAGAUAGGUAGCCGGCCUGAGAGGGUGGACGGCCACAAGGGGACUGAGAUACGGCCCUUACUCCUACGGGAGGCAGCAGUGGGGAAUAUUGGACAAUGGGGGCAACCCUGAUCCAGCAAUUCUGUGUGCACGAAGAAGGUUUUCGGAUUGUAAAGUGCUUUCAGCAGGGAAGAAGUAAGUGACGGUACCUGCAGAAGAAGCGACGGCUAAAUACGUG